GUGUGAUAUGAUAUUUAUCCACAGUUUAUAUACAGUUUUAGAGAUGAACAGUUGAUAUACAGCUUUACAGAUGUACAUAGAUAAAGGAAGAUGCGGUGUGAGUACAGUUUUGUUACGGGCUCAACCAUGCGACGGGGAUUUUAUAAAAAGUUGCUGUGUUUUUCUGUAUUUUUAAACUGAGGUAAUGUUCAAAAGGGACUCUGAAAUGUCUGAGAUAUAAUUACGACACAUAUGGUGUUAUUAUUGCAAACAAAGCACCAUACAACACUGUGUUUGUAAGUAAUUCAUAUAACUACAAGUGUAUUAUAAAAAAAACUAGAAACUAAAACUCGGGGAAUCACACGCACAAAAAAGUAACCUUUGAUAAAG
This 369-nucleotide long non-coding RNA is filed under the name Mytilus galloprovincialis (Mediterranean mussel). Lineage: Eukaryota; Metazoa; Mollusca; Bivalvia; Mytilida; Mytilidae. The record is from RNAcentral.